GCCCCGCUAGUUAAACGGUAUAACGGAACCAUGGUAAGGUUCAAUCCGUAGUUCGACUCUGCGGCGGGGCACCA
Molecule: transfer RNA, 74 nt
Filed under: Bacillota bacterium
Lineage: Bacteria; Bacillati; Bacillota
Also listed under: 1 other name
Description: tRNA-Thr
Rfam family: tRNA
About the family: Transfer RNA (tRNA) molecules are approximately 80 nucleotides in length.
Source: RNAcentral